GUCUCGUGCAGCUUUGAGCACAUUUCCUGGUAUAUUUGAGAUUCGUGGAAAUGUGAUUGUGUGUUCUUUAGAAAUAAAAAUAAGUGUCUGUGGGGUGCUGCAAUUGCAGUGACACAUCGAUCACAGUUUGAAAGGUUUAAACAGACUCUGCAUGAAAACUGCUGCAUUACUGUCUUUUAGACAGCAGAACCAGACAGCAAUGCAACAGAGGUUAUAUGUUUAAGAGAAAACAGACGUUAAACAACAGUUUGCAUAGAACAGAUUUUUUUACAAGCAGGAAAUUUUAAAUUGGUACAAAAAAGAAAUACCAGAGGUCAUCCAAACCAUCAAGAUGCUUCUUUUAUCUGACUAAAGCUUAAUUUAUAGUGCUGCAUUAACCUGUAGAGACCCUAUAUCCUCUGGCAUAGUCUGGCAUCCACCUUGCUGCUGUGGCAACGCAGCCUACAGUGGCGGUAAUAUGCUCAAAAAUGUAUAUUGAUUAUUACAAGGAUAAUGCCUCUGUGAACCAACGUGUAAUAGGCUCUAGUUGCAUUUAGUGUGCUCACAGUGCUAAUUCAUUACCCAGUGUUAAUGUAACACUGAAAAACAACUCAUUUUGACAGUUAAUAGAAUUGAAUAUUGGGGAAAUGACUCCAUUCAUGUUUAUUUUUUUUAUAUUACGACUGUAAUUCCAACAAGGACAUUUUAAACAGUUGGUUUUUACACAUCCAGUAGCUGCGGAGCCACAUUGCCAUUCAGCUGGGCAGGUGUUUCUGGCUCCUUUUUAUCUAUUUGCUCUCUAUUUACCUGUGUUUUCGCUUUCCUCCACCACCUCAGAGGAAUGUCUGGCUGUCAAGAUACUAAAUGCUCCACUGUGAUCUCAUAGUGACUGGUCCUGAGAUCUAGUCUGAACCAACGCUGAUGAGAGCAGUAAGAUUAAGCAACGCUGGGUCUGAUUUACCACCGUAAUCGUGUGGUGUUUUUCUCUCUUUCCCGUUGUUCCGCAUUUAUCAGCUCCAAGUCCAACACAGCAGAGCACUGCAGACACAACAGCGCACAAGUAUGAUUGUAAAACCACGCCACUCAUUAUGGCGUGGGAGUCACUAAAGGACCAUGAUAGGAAAGAGAAAUCACACGAGGAUCCAGACAUUUUUAAUUUGUAGUUUUAAUUAAUAAUGCAUCACUCAUAUAGCCUCCUCACUUUGUGGACAUAAAGCCGUCAUGAGACGUAGAUUGAUCAUGAUCUUUGAUCGUGUUGUUUCCCUGUACCAUAGCCGAGCCUUUCUGGAUGCACAUAACAGUGAAUGAAGCAGCUCUAUUACUACGAGACCGAGCCCUUUCUUGCUUUCCUCGUUGGCUAGCUUGUUAGCUUGCAGGUGCUGUGGAUGUCUGCCUGUCUAUGUCAUUUUGAUGGGACGCUUGUUGCUGUGCAGACCACAAAGAACACUGGCCAGGCCGAACAUUAAGAACCUGUUUAAAUGUGUGGCCCGGAUUUUAAAUUUUCAGGGCCUUGAUUUUUUUUUUUUAGCAUAGGCAGAUUCAGCACAGGACUAUAAAUUAAGCUUCCUCCAAAAACUGUAGAAAAAGAAAGCUUUCUAUCACUUAGCACCAAGAAAAGUUGUCAAAUCUGAGCAGAUUUCUCUGUUAUGUUUGGAAAAUCCAUUUAAUUACUGAUAAAAACAGUUUCAGAUUAUUUCCUGGUACUCAAAUGAUCUUUGAAUCUACCAACUUCUUAUUUUUUGCCAUAAAAGAAAUGCUGAUUUUGAAUCAAUGCAGCAUGGUUUUACAAUAUAAAUUUAAUAUUUAGAAAAAAGUUUCUUUUUCAAAUUUGCUGUUGCAGUUAGGCUGUGCUGAGGUGAAUGGUCUGUCCUGUCUUUGUUUCUGUGUUACAAUGUGCUGCUCUUCGUUUUUGUACUAAAGGGUCUCAGAUCAAAGCCUGUACAUACAGAACACGUCAAACACGACUUUAUUAACAAUAACCCAGUCGAGCAAAGACAGCCGGCAAGAGAUUCCAGAGACAGUUUUCAGUAUUGCAGCUUUUGCAAGCAUGCCCUUUGAGCACUAAACUUCAAAGGCCUUUUUUUACAUCGGUGGAAUGUACUGAUAGACAAUGUCCACCACAUAGGUUGUGAUAAAGGCGGAUUGUGUGUGUUGUGACAUAGUUUCAAGAGUAAGAGUGUGCAGGGGUAUCAAAUAUCGACAUUGUGCUGUGUGGAAGUCGGAAGCAUGCUUUUUAACCAUGCCUAUGAAAUGCGUCUCAUCUUUGGUCCUAUUUAAAUGUGCUUGUAUUUAUUUUUUAUAAGUGAAUAGAUCGACCUUUGCAAGAAAAGAAGAAAAUUCAGUGCUGCCCUUUGACCUUUUUGAGUCAAGCUCCCCCGUCAGUUCUGCUAAGAGUUUAUUUAAAUCAUUCAUGAUUUCCUGUUUGCUUUCACCACGUAUCCUCAUAUGUUCCACCGGUUUUAUCUAUAGCAAAUCAAGAAAAGCACAUCAGACUCCAAACAGACCAACAACGAAACAACAUGGAGGAUAAGACAGAAUAAUUCACUUUCAGAGGACUGAACAUCUGCUAAAAUCAACUACAAAUGAGAAAAAAACUGUGACGUGUAGGGUCACGUGGACCCGCGCAGUCUGUAGAUUACACUGUGGUGCAUGCAGCCAUCUCCAUUCAUCCUUUUCUUUGCAUAACUUUAAGUUCCAAGUAACGGGGGCCAAAACAAAAAGGGAAAACGUGAUCGAUCAAGGAAUCUUUUUUUAAAAAGUUCUUUGUGUCAAACUGUAGUGAUGCUGUGGACUCUUUAAAGUUUGGAUGUAAGAUAAAAUGAGAAAAAAAUUAAAUUAAUCCUCAUCCGAAUGUUGAAACUAUUAAAAAUGUUUUUUUUUAUAUUA
Long non-coding RNA from Astatotilapia calliptera (eastern happy), 2865 nucleotides. The record is from Ensembl. Lineage: Eukaryota; Metazoa; Chordata; Actinopteri; Cichliformes; Cichlidae.